Molecule: non-coding RNA, 2655 nt
Organism: Aegilops tauschii subsp. strangulata
Lineage: Eukaryota; Viridiplantae; Streptophyta; Magnoliopsida; Poales; Poaceae
Source: RefSeq, a predicted model, not a curated record
CAUACAAACUACAGCGAGAAGUGAAGGAACGAAUUCCCUUUUCAAAAAAGGGGUUGGAGCUAAAUUUAGUGCUACUAGCUUUUUGAGAGAGUAUGACCGGAUACUUGAUGUUGUGCAUGACAGGGAAGAAGAAUGCGACCAUGUUAGUAGAAACAAGAAAGUUGCACAGAAAGCAUUUGGGUCAAAAUACAGCAUAGAAAGGCAAGCACAUGAGCUAUACAACAUUGGAAUAUUCAGGAAAUUCCAGUUUAAAAUGGCAGACACAACAAGGCUGCAUGUCUUUGAGCAAGAAAAGGACAAAUACUACAUUGUGACACAAGCUGAAAACUACCCCCAAAAGGAAAUCCGGAAAAGAGAAGAACAAUAACAAGACUUACAGCAAAAGCGUAGUGACAACCGCCAAACGUCACUGAUCUUUUGGAAGCAACUUUAGUGGAAUCCUUGAACUUUUUUAUGCAACUCAACAGCCACUCAUAAACAAAUCUCGACAGAUCAUAGUUACGCACAGAAGGACAAUCCCUGAAGAUAUGAAGGUACUUUGGGCUAGGACUGAGGCUAGAGUUGGGACAAAGGAACGAUGAGAAAGCAACAACCAUGAAACAAAUAAAGACAUCUUCAACAGGCAACUCGACUUCAGUUGAUUUUAGCUUGUUUGCAAAGAAGGACACGGGAGGAAUACUGGUCACGUUGAAGUGAGAGAGGAUAAAAUCACGGCCAGAAUCAGGAUCACACACAAGUGGCUCACCAUCUACGGGAAGGUCAAGGAUGUCAUGAAUAUCAUACUUGGUCAUUGGGAUAAAUUUCCUUUUGAGCUGGAAUUCAGAUGAAGGGACAUCGAACCUACUGGCAAGCCACUUCACUAACCUGAGGGGCACCUCGGUCCUAACAAACUCUAAGAGACAACCCAUGCCAUAUCUCUGGACAACACCACGAUACCUAUAACAGAGGCCAUCAACAACACCAGAGAAGAACUUCCCAGAAUAUCUAGUGAAAGUAGCACAAGUAGGGUAAUCACUGGAGCGUUUCUGCCUCUACAAAAACAACAAAAGAAAAACACCAUAUCAACCACUUCAAAUAAAUUACUUUGGAUUACUAUUACUGAGUACAAAAGAAUAAUUGGACGUACACCAGAAAAUCAGAAAAACAACAUGAGUGAAAACACAAAAUCAAACCAGUCAAAAUAAUUGCUUCAGAUUACUAUUACUUAGUACAAAAAGACAUUGCAAAAAACAUUGAAAAAAUGCAGUUACUAAGAAUUGGACUUACACUAUAAAAUAAAACAUAAAUGAUUAAGAUAGAACUUCAAGCAUUUUACUUUCAGAAGGUAAAACUAUUGAAAAUAAGAGUAAAUAGGAACUAACCACAUUCCUCCUUGAAGCAGAUGAUAAUUUCCUCUUCAAGCAUUCUACUUUCUGAAAAAGAAGAAAAACACAACUAUCACGCAAGAGAAGAGAAAAAAAUGUAAAAAAAUGGAACAAGAAUGAAAAGUCCUAGAUAAAAAUAAAACAUACUUGAUUAAGAUAGAACUUCAGAAGAGCUUUGUCAAGCCCUCCUUCGUCAUCAGAUAAUUCCUGCAGAAGCAACCAAUAAAGGAAAUAAGACAACCCCCAAAAAAUGAGGGGCAAUAAAACUAAAUUAAAAGAAGCACAAAAUAAAUAAUUAGCAUAGACACAGGGUAACAACCAUCUUCUGCAAAAUCAUUAGGCACAAAUGGUUCACCCCCAGAAUCUGCACUAUCUAGAGAUGAUACUACAGGAACAUCCCAAUGAGAAGCUUUUCGUAGCUUGCCCAUUUAAACCUACGAAAAAGGAAGGAUCACAAAAAAGGAAAAAGAAAAUAUAAGUAACAAUGAAAGGCAUCCAAUUAAAACUAAAAAAUAACACUGAAAAAAUGGGUUAUAUUACACUGUAAGAACUGGACAAAAAGACUGUAAUUACACUGUAAACUAGCACAAUUGCUCUGUAAAAACUAGCAUGAUUACACUAUAAGUAUUAGACAAAAAUACACUGUAAACCUAGCACAAUUACACUGUAAAAACUAGCACAAUUACACUGUAAGUAUUAGGCAAAAAAUACACUGUAAUUACACUGUAAAGCUAGCAGAAUUACACAGUAAAAACUAUCACAACUACAGUGUAAAAACUAAAGAUAAUGUAAAUGAGUGGAUUUACACUAUAAAUGAGUGGAUUUACACUGUAAAACUAGCACAAUUACACUGUAAAAAAUAAGAGAAAUUACAUUGUAAUACUAGAACAAAAAUACAUCCUUAACCAACAUUCAUGGUACAAAAAUCAAAACACCUAGGAAAAAUCACGGCCUACGAGAUAAAGCUUCACAUGAGCAACACAAUUAGACAACAUCACUAGACGAAAACGUUACAAUGAAGUACUGGACAUCAAUAGCUCCCCCAAAAAAGGUUUAUUACACUGCAAGUACUGGACAAAUGCAGUGUAAGACUAGCACAAAAAAGACACUGUAACUCUGACAUGAAUUACACUGCAAACAACAACACUGAAUAAACUAACCCAACAUCCAACACUGAAAUAAGAUGACAUAAAAAAUACAUUGAAAAUAAACUCAGAAUUCAUGCCCUCCCCUAGAAGUAAAUCAUGGCACAAAAGGGGGAUUAAACACCUACAGAUAGCAACAACAAAAA